ACAUCUGGCGCAGAAUCACUCCACCAACAUGAUCUGCGUACAAUGAAAAAGGAGGUAUGUCCCUUGCCGCGUGGCUCGCGGUGCGGCAGUGUGGAGACCUGUCGUAAUGCGUCACGUCCCUCCGCGGACGGACGCGAGGCGGAUACGGGUGGGCCGUUCCGCCAGAGCUGAGAGUAUGUCC
Molecule: non-coding RNA, 181 nt
Filed under: unclassified sequences
Description: malK-I RNA
Rfam family: malK-I RNA
Source: RNAcentral